ACGUCUGUGUGCGCUCCGCAGUUAUAAAUAUGUAUUUUCGACUAAUAUUGUUCGAAUUCUGCAAAGUGAAGAGAUGAAUAAGUUUACGCUCUUUCUGGUGUUCCUCUGCGGAGCAGUUUUCGCCGUUUUGGUGUCUCUCAUGCACAGUUCAUGGCGGUUUUAUGCUUCGUCUGAGGUGGCCAUGGCCUCGUCCCUCGGGGCCAUUCCAGCUGGUUCGGAUUUGGAGCUCAUGGAUGACGGGUAUGUGGCCAUGGCCCUCCUGGGGGCACACGACGAGGACCAGGCUGUGUCCAAGAAACAGACCACGGAGCUGGAAGACAGACAUGCAGAGAUAGAGGCAUUAAAUACAUUAAAAGCAGCACAGGAAUUAGUUCACUCAGGAAAGAGUGUCAGAGCUGGCCGACUACUGGAGCAUGCCAUUUCAUUGGCGCCGCGGCACCCAGAUGUCCUCAUACAUUAUGGAGAGUAUCUGGAGCAUCAUCGCAAUGACAUUGUACAGGCGGACAAACUGUACUUGAGAGCUUUGGCUGUCUCUCCUGCGAAUUCUAGGGCAUUACGAAAUCGGCGGAGAACUAGGCCCAUUGUUGAUGAAAUGGAUGCCGGGAUUUUUAGUCGCAUCGAUGGUAAAAGGGAUGACCUGGCUCAAAUCCCAAGUUCCUCGGCUUCCCUGAGACGCAUCAAAAAGGAAGCAUACUUCCAGUACAUUUACCACACAGCCGGUAUUGAGGGAAACACCAUGACCCUGUCUCAGACUCGGAUGAUUUUGGAGACUAGGCUCAGCGUUGGAGGGAAGAGUGUAAUGGAACACAAUGAGAUCUUGGGCCUGGACCUUGCUCUCAAGUAUAUCAAUAUGACAUUGGUGCAUCGAGUGGGCCGUAUAACGCUGCACGACAUUCUGGAAAUUCACCGCAGAGUAUUGGGUCAUGUUGAUCCCAUUCAAGCUGGACAAAUGAGAACAACUCAGGUUUAUGUAAGUGAUCAUGUGCCACCUCCACCAACACACUUGCAAGUUCUUAUGGAGGACUUUGUGCAAUGGCUGAACUCGCCUCAAGCCCAGAGACUCCAUCCAAUCAAAUAUGCAGCUCUUGCCCACUACAAAUUGGUGUUUAUUCACCCAUUUGCUGAUGGAAAUGGAAGAACAGCAAGACUAUUAAUGAAUUUUCUAUUAAUGCAGGCUGGCUACCCACCAGUAAUAAUCCGUAAGCAAGACAGACUCAUGUAUUACGACUGCCUUCAAACGGCUAAUGAAGGCGACACUCGGCCUUUCAUCAGGUUCGUUGCACAUUGUACAGAGAAGACAUUAGAUGUUUAUUUGUGGGCCACUAAGGAAACCUUACCCAAAAUAGGCCAGGAACAUGAGACCAAAGGUGGAGUGAAGAACUUGAAAAGAGACCACCAUCAGGAGAAGGAUUAUGAAAUGUCUGAUAUAAAAUCCAAUGUUGACAAUGAGGAAGUAAAGAAGUUCUCCUUUGAAUCAGUUGAAGAUAUUCCUCCAUGGCAUGUGGAAGAUGAUGACUUUAAAGAGGAAGGCCAGUUCAGUGGAGGUCAGAACUAUAUACCCACUUAUGUUGAAGACGAUAUACUUAAGGAAGAUUCUAGUCACAGGUCAGAAAAUAGCAUUGAUUAUGAACAUGGCAAUAACUUGUGGUUUGCCAGUGAAGAAGACCACGGAACAGUGAGUGGAACGAGAAGAUAUGGGAGAGUGCUAAGUGAGGAAACUUUGUUUGAAGAAGUGACUAUAGAGGAUAAAACGAAAGGCAAAGCUCUUCACCUUGAAGACGAAGAGGACACUAUAUCACGUGGUCUUUAGAAGAAAUAUAUUUAUGAAUUGAACAGUUCAGAUUUUAAGUAUAUAUUUAAAAUUAUACACCCCACAAGUUGCACAAUGUACAUAUAAAAAGUGACAAUAAUACAAACAAUUAUUUAUUUACGAGAAAUCUUUGCAAGCUAUAUCGUUGAUCACCGGUACUGUAACACAUAAAUCGUAGUAUGUUUGAGUGCACAAGUUUGAAUAACUCAUAUUUGUUAUUAAACUAUUACCUUUUUUAUGUUAAGGUUGUAUAUAUUAUACAGCAAUACUUAUAUUUUUGAGCAUUUAUGAGGAAUAUAUUUAUUUAAAUGGUGUGUUGUAUAGAUAGACUCUUCGGAAAGAGAAUAAAUUUUGAUAUUAGUAAACUAAGAUUUUUUUUUUUUUUUAAUAUAUAUAUCAUACUAGUGCUCAACAACUAUAUGAUGACAAUGGAGUAAAUGCACAAGCAGUAUUUUACCCCAAGUUCCUUUAAGUUUUUUGUACUUUUAUUUUGUAUAUAAUUAUUUUGAUUUUUCUUUGUAUAGUGAUAUAUUUUAUUUGAAAGAUUAUGUACAUUUUUAAGUGCUUGAAAUUUGGGUCCACUGUCUUCUAAUACAGAAGUAUAUAUAUAUAUUUAUUUUAUAUUGUAUCUCUUCUCUAAUAUUUAGAUGAGUUUAACGAGUCUCCAUGUGUAAAUGUUAAUCAUUAGAUACCGGUUUAUAUAAUUUUAAAAACUUGGUAGGGCAUUUCUGAAUUUUUGAUGAUGAGGAUCAGCAUUUCAGUGCUGAUUAGAGAUAAUAAGUACGGGAAAUAGUUAUAUGUGGAAUUAUGUUUCUACAUUGGUUGAAAAAAGAAAAAACAGAUGUGAGUUGUGUGGCCAUUUUAUUUAAAAAGUCAAGGUGGGCAACCUUAUAUUACCCCCUUUCUUAUUUAUCAUCAUGUCCUUCAUCUUUUAUUUUAUUAUAGAAUAUGAUUACUUAAAUUCAUGAUUAUCUUGAAAAAUUAGAGCCAAAUCUAAAUAUUGAAAGCAAAUUUGUCAGUCUAUAGACAGCACAUCAAAACACUAACAAAUCAGUCUUUGACCAUAGCAUAUGAACCAGACUUUAUUUCUGUCCUUUAUGAAAAUUACCCUUUCAGUCUUAAUUUCAUACCUUUAACCCACUCACGCCAGGGCGAUUCCGGCUUUGCAUGGUCGUAAUGCCAGGGUUUUCGAAAGCAUAAGCCUAAUGCCUCGAGACUCUCGGGCGCACAAGCGUGAAUGGGUUAAGAAAGAAAUAGUUUAUAAUUUGAAAUAUUCUGAAGCAAUACUCGGAGAUUCCUCUUUUUAUUUUUGAUAAAUGAUAGCAAGAUUCUGUUAGUAUUGCCAAUUGCUAAGGAAAAGUUGUGGGUCAGUGGUCAGUUUAAGAAUACCAAAAUUUGAGGGUUGCUUAGCAUAUGGGUAACAGAUAAGGCUUAAUUUGAGUAUUAAUGAUAUAACCAAAAAUGUUUUGUAUUUACCCAAAGAUAUUUAUCCAUGUCACCUCUUGGGUAGUAGUUAAGAAAACAAAAGUUGAUCGUGAAAGUGUAGAAAAAGAGGAAAAAAAAAUUGGUAAUUAUUCAGUUUCUAUAACUGCCAUACACAAACCAAACAGCCCUUUUAGUAGAUAGUAUUAUAAAACGAAAUACUAUGUGAGAAAGAUGGUAGAAUGCAGUAAAAUUUUUUUUUUAAGAAAUGCUCUGUAAUGAGACUCGAGGUAAUGAUAAAGGUAUAUUUAUCUUUUGGCUUGAUCUGUUCAUGGGCAUUGAGUUAAAUUGGGUGCUACCUUAUAGUUUAUGAUUUUGUAUAACAGUGUAAGCAUGAUCUUCAGUCUGAUAUAUUAUCAGUUUAGAACAUGUUCUAAAUUCACAGAAAGAAUAAACUUGCUAUUAGUGAUAAUACUUGAAGGAUGUGUGCUUUGGAAAUAAAAAAGCUGGUACUUGACUACUUUUUAUUUUAUUUUCUGUAAUGCAUUAAACAUGCAUUAAAAGUUUAUAUAUCAUGUAAAGCACGUUCUUCCAUAUUUAUUAAAACCAAAGACUAGGAAGGAAUUUAAUAGUAAUUUUAUUUUACCAAUAUACAUUAUACAAGCAUGUGUAUUUAAGACUAUUUUCUUUCAUUGCCUAAGGGUUUGAUGUUUAUCAGUCAUAGUAUAAUCUUUGUAAAAUGCAGAAAUGUGUAUAAAUAAUAAUAAUAAUAAUAAUGAUAACUAGUUAUGGUAAAUGAUGAAAAAAAUUGAGUAGAGGGUCACUUGUUAAUGUAAUAAACACACAAGAAAAUAUCUUGCAUGCAUAUAGCAAUGGAAGGGGAAUAGGACUUCUGUAUAUGAUUUUUAAAUUUAUUAUCCAUUAACUUUAUUUCAUUAUAUUUUAAAAUCUAAGGGGAGAUGAAAAUAAAUUAAAUGUAAAAAAUAUCCUUUAUUACAAAUACUACAUAUAUACAUAAACACACAACUCACUAUUACCUGUAAAUAGGGAAUGUGCCUUUUAUAAAAGAAGAAAAAAAAAGAAUUGAACAAUGAAAAAAAAAUCCUGUUCUCACUGGUACUGUACAGUCUGCAAUCUUUGGCCCUGUGAUAUCCAAAGUAACUAGCAAUAGAGCUUAAAUAAUAAAUUAACUCAAUAUUUGGAGGCUUUGUAAACUAAGUUGCAUUGUGUUCAUCUUAGUUGAUUUGAUCUGUCAUAAAUAUUUGUAAUAAAACUAUUUACAAUGCAUGUAUUCUGACAUGAGGAUAUUAAAAACCAUUGUUGAUAUUUCUUGUACACAUUAUGAUAAAGAAAUACAUUAGCAAUACAAAUAAUCAAGUCAUUCUCUCUAACUGUAAAACAAACAAUAAAAUCCAAUAAUACAUUAAAAUAAUAAAAUUACCGUACCAUUAUAGAAUAAGUCAAGGUACAUUUAUUGUACUUGGACAAGUAGACAAAUUCAAGUAAAACCUGUACAUUAUAAAACCUAUAUAUCACUAAAAUACAGAUGCACACAGGCUUUCUCUUCAGUGUCACAAAUUAUUGGUAAGCCAAAAGGAGACAACAUUAGUAAACAUUGUAACAUUACAAAAAUAUCUAUGGUGAUAUACUUUUAGAUUUUUUAAUGAAGAUGGACAACCUUUCAAUAAGUAAUAAUCUGGCUUUUUCUUAAUCAACUUCCAUUUUACCUUCUAUUUUGCUUUUCUGAUCUUUGUUGUUCUUGGCUGAAAGGCAUUUUCGAAUUUCUAAUCCAAUUGCACGGGCCAUUGGUGGAGGAACAGCAUUUCCGACCUGAGAAAUGGUAUUAUUUUCUAAUUAAGGUAUGAGAAGAAUGGACUUUCAUAGUAUAUGAUAGGUUUCAAGGUUUACCUCAAUAUAACAUUAUCUUACUAAACAUUGCAUUUAUAUGUUCUCUCUCUGUUUAUACACAUUUUAAAAGUAAAUAUAAAAUGCACACAAA
RNAcentral lists this unclassified non-coding RNA (5231 nucleotides) under Penaeus japonicus. RNAcentral describes it as "protein adenylyltransferase Fic-like, transcript variant X1". The record is from RNAcentral. Lineage: Eukaryota; Metazoa; Arthropoda; Malacostraca; Decapoda; Penaeidae.